RNAcentral lists this ribosomal RNA (2928 nucleotides) under Salmonella enterica subsp. enterica serovar Enteritidis str. EC20111095. RNAcentral's name for it is "bacterial LSU rRNA". It matches the Rfam family "Bacterial large subunit ribosomal RNA". The record is from RNAcentral. Lineage: Bacteria; Pseudomonadati; Pseudomonadota; Gammaproteobacteria; Enterobacterales; Enterobacteriaceae. RNAcentral also lists the same sequence under 1 other name.
GGGUUGUGAGGUUAAGCGACUAAGCGUACACGGUGGAUGCCCUGGCAGUCAGAGGCGAUGAAGGGCGUGCUAAUCUGCGAUAAGCGCCGGUAAGGUGAUAUGAACCGUUAUAACCGGCGAUACCCGAAUGGGGAAACCCAGUGUGAUUCGUCACACUAUCAUUAACUGAAUCCAUAGGUUAAUGAGGCGAACCGGGGGAACUGAAACAUCUAAGUACCCCGAGGAAAAGAAAUCAACCGAGAUUCCCCCAGUAGCGGCGAGCGAACGGGGAGGAGCCCAGAGCCUGAAUCAGCAUGUGUGUUAGUGGAAGCGUCUGGAAAGGCGCGCGAUACAGGGUGACAGCCCCGUACACAAAAGCGCAUGUGCUGUGAGCUCGAUGAGUAGGGCGGGACACGUGGUAUCCUGUCUGAAUAUGGGGGGACCAUCCUCCAAGGCUAAAUACUCCUGACUGACCGAUAGUGAACCAGUACCGUGAGGGAAAGGCGAAAAGAACCCCGGCGAGGGGAGUGAAAAAGAACCUGAAACCGUGUACGUACAAGCAGUGGGAGCACACGUUUACCUGUGUGACUGCGUACCUUUUGUAUAAUGGGUCAGCGACUUAUAUUCUGUAGCAAGGUUAACCGAAUAGGGGAGCCGGAGGGAAACCGAGUCUUAAUUGGGCGUUAAGUUGCAGGGUAUAGACCCGAAACCCGGUGAUCUAGCCAUGGGCAGGUUGAAGGUUGGGUAACACUAACUGGAGGACCGAACCGACUAAUGUUGAAAAAUUAGCGGAUGACCUGUGGCUGGGGGUGAAAGGCCAAUCAAACCGGGAGAUAGCUGGUUCUCCCCGAAAGCUAUUUAGGUAGCGCCUCGUGAAUUCAUCUCCGGGGGUAGAGCACUGUUUCGGCUAGGGGGCCAUCCCGGCUUACCAACCCGAUGCAAACUGCGAAUACCGGAGAAUGUUAUCACGGGAGACACACGGCGGGUGCUAACGUCCGUCGUGAAGAGGGAAACAACCCAGACCGCCAGCUAAGGUCCCAAAGUCAUGGUUAAGUGGGAAACGAUGUGGGAAGGCCCAGACAGCCAGGAUGUUGGCUUAGAAGCAGCCAUCAUUUAAAGAAAGCGUAAUAGCUCACUGGUCGAGUCGGCCUGCGCGGAAGAUGUAACGGGGCUAAACCAUGCACCGAAGCUGCGGCAGCGACACUGUGUGUUGUUGGGUAGGGGAGCGUUCUGUAAGCCUGUGAAGGUGUGUCGUGAGGCAUGCUGGAGGUAUCAGAAGUGCGAAUGCUGACAUAAGUAACGAUAAAGCGGGUGAAAAGCCCGCUCGCCGGAAGACCAAGGGUUCCUGUCCAACGUUAAUCGGGGCAGGGUGAGUCGACCCCUAAGGCGAGGCCGAAAGGCGUAGUCGAUGGGAAACGGGUUAAUAUUCCCGUACUUGGUGUUACUGCGAAGGGGGGACGGAGAAGGCUAUGUUGGCCGGGCGACGGUUGUCCCGGUUUAAGCGUGUAGGUGUGUGUUCCAGGUAAAUCCGGUUCACUUUAACACUGAGGCGUGACGACGAGGCACUACGGUGCUGAAGCAACAAAUGCCCUGCUUCCAGGAAAAGCCUCUAAGCAUCAGGUAACAUCAAAUCGUACCCCAAACCGACACAGGUGGUCAGGUAGAGAAUACCAAGGCGCUUGAGAGAACUCGGGUGAAGGAACUAGGCAAAAUGGUGCCGUAACUUCGGGAGAAGGCACGCUGACACGUAGGUGAAGUGAUUUACUCAUGGAGCUGAAGUCAGUCGAAGAUACCAGCUGGCUGCAACUGUUUAUUAAAAACACAGCACUGUGCAAACACGAAAGUGGACGUAUACGGUGUGACGCCUGCCCGGUGCCGGAAGGUUAAUUGAUGGGGUCAGCGCAAGCGAAGCUCCUGAUCGAAGCCCCGGUAAACGGCGGCCGUAACUAUAACGGUCCUAAGGUAGCGAAAUUCCUUGUCGGGUAAGUUCCGACCUGCACGAAUGGCGUAAUGAUGGCCAGGCUGUCUCCACCCGAGACUCAGUGAAAUUGAACUCGCUGUGAAGAUGCAGUGUACCCGCGGCAAGACGGAAAGACCCCGUGAACCUUUACUAUAGCUUGACACUGAACAUUGAGCCUUGAUGUGUAGGAUAGGUGGGAGGCUUUGAAGUGUGGACGCCAGUCUGCAUGGAGCCGACCUUGAAAUACCACCCUUUAAUGUUUGAUGUUCUAACGUGGACCCGUUACCCGGGUUGCGGACAGUGUCUGGUGGGUAGUUUGACUGGGGCGGUCUCCUCCUAAAGAGUAACGGAGGAGCACGAAGGUUGGCUAAUCCUGGUCGGACAUCAGGAGGUUAGUGCAAUGGCAUAAGCCAGCUUGACUGCGAGCGUGACGGCGCGAGCAGGUGCGAAAGCAGGUCAUAGUGAUCCGGUGGUUCUGAAUGGAAGGGCCAUCGCUCAACGGAUAAAAGGUACUCCGGGGAUAACAGGCUGAUACCGCCCAAGAGUUCAUAUCGACGGCGGUGUUUGGCACCUCGAUGUCGGCUCAUCACAUCCUGGGGCUGAAGUAGGUCCCAAGGGUAUGGCUGUUCGCCAUUUAAAGUGGUACGCGAGCUGGGUUUAGAACGUCGUGAGACAGUUCGGUCCCUAUCUGCCGUGGGCGCUGGAGAACUGAGGGGGGCUGCUCCUAGUACGAGAGGACCGGAGUGGACGCAUCACUGGUGUUCGGGUUGUCAUGCCAAUGGCACUGCCCGGUAGCUAAAUGCGGAAGAGAUAAGUGCUGAAAGCAUCUAAGCACGAAACUUGCCCCGAGAUGAGUUCUCCCUGAGACUUAGAGUCUCCUGAAGGAACGUUGAAGACGACGACGUUGAUAGGCCGGGUGUGUAAGCGCAGCGAUGCGUUGAGCUAACCGGUACUAAUGAACCGUGAGGCUUAACCUUACAACGCCGAAG